This 280-nucleotide long non-coding RNA is filed under the name Oryza brachyantha (malo sina). RNAcentral's name for it is "long non-coding RNA (OBRA_LNC003263)". Lineage: Eukaryota; Viridiplantae; Streptophyta; Magnoliopsida; Poales; Poaceae. The record is from RNAcentral.
ACAUCAAGAAUACAAAAACCAGCAAUACUUUAUCAGCAUGCCCGUGGUACAUGGUUUCAUCCCAAGAGCUCAGUUGUUUUUCCAUAUGAAGACAUGCAGUGUCACCUCCUCAUAGGAAGAUAUAUCUGAACUUGGACGAGGAGUUUCAAAGGCAUUGGCAUAAUCCUUUGAUGAUAAAUCAAAUCCCAAUAUUGAGGUGAAAAAACUUUUAGGAAGAGAUGAUUAGGUGUUCAUUGUCGUAGCUAAGUGUCAGUUUAGCUGUCGUUGAAAAUCGACAUGC